Triticum aestivum (bread wheat) is the source of this 965-nucleotide long non-coding RNA. RefSeq lists it as uncharacterized. NCBI's taxonomy places the organism in Eukaryota, Viridiplantae, Streptophyta, Magnoliopsida, Poales, Poaceae. The transcript is spliced from 3 exons. The record is from RefSeq and is a predicted model, not a curated record.
UCCCCCGCCCUGUCGCCAGCCGCGUCGCUCCUCCGCCCCAUCGCCGGCCCUCCCCCUCGUCCACGGCCCGCCCCGUCGAGGUCCAGGUCCACGACGGAUCCGCCUACGCCGGCAUCUUCCACACCGCCUCCCUCGACGCCGGAUACGGUGAAUUUGUGUCUAUGCUCCGUGGCGUCGAGCUGUAAAUCUUCCGAUGCUAUUUUGUGCCAUAUGGGCAAACACUAAGUUCUGAGGAAGAGAUGUCAUAUGUGUACCAUAUGGACAAACACUCUACAUUCUAAAGGACGGGCAGAAGGUGCAUCCCCUGGAUUGUCUUACUUAACCUGGCAACAAAGAGAGGAGGUUGCAAACAAGCACGAAGGGGAAUACAUGUAUGCAUUUUUCCUGACUGAGGUAAUCCGUUGAUCUUAUCAUGUUAGUUUUCUUAUAUGUUACCACUCCCUUGUGUAGAUAAGUAUUCUGCUUCAGGUAUCAAGGAAAUUAAAUUUUCCGGAGGAAGUGCUUUCUUCAAUAUCAGAUUGCUAUAAAGGAUGAGAUGCUCCACACAUUUUGAGAGUUUAGAGGUUAGUUUCUAGCAGAGUUAGUGACGGAACUGAAAACUGUUUCAGUCGAGGUUGAGGAUAAAUCUUAUGCUGCCACAUGUUUAGAGUUUGUGAUAAGAACCAAAAUAUCAAGGUUUAAAAAGUGGAUGCUUCGAGUAUGAUAGAUCCUAUGUUUCUGUGUUAAUCUAUUUCAAAUAUCUUUAAUCAGAGUCAAAGCAUGACAUGUUAUGUCUUGGAUCAUGAGUGAAGUCCAAUGUUGACAUACAUUUAGUGUUUGCUGAUGGUUCUAGGUAGAACUGAAUUAGGCUAAUUAAUAAACAUGCUGAGUUUUGAAUGUUGAAUUCGAGUUAUAGAAGCAUCCAUAGACAUGAUACUGAGCUCUUUACAAUCAGCUCAUAUUCUGGUGAUUGCAACAAGAAAGUC